AGAAGGAUUGUAUGUCCUUCAGAGUUCAUGUAGGCCUGGCAGUGGGAGGAGAGAAACAAAAUGAAGCAUAAAGCAAGGGUUGAAUGGGCUUUCCCAGGAUCCCCAGCUGAAAUUUGAUAUGCUUGCUUGCAGUGGAUUUUUUUUUUCUGAAAGCUUCAUCAAAAUGGCUUCAAGCAUAGGAGUGAAUAAAAUGCAGCUAAGACAAAACAGAAAUUGCAACCUUUUUCGACCAGCUCUAGCACCUCAGCAGAAGAUGAUGGAGGCUUGAAAACUGGCAGGCACUCAGGACCCAGUUCAGUCAAACAAUUAAACACGUACUUAACUUUAAGAUUGUGAACAAUCCCUUUGACCUCCAUGGGAAGGAGAACAGAGACACGGAGGCCAGGUGACUCGCCCAAGCUCACACAACAGCAUGGAUGAGCCUGCCCUCAUUAAAGGAGAUAAUGGAGACAUUUUGGAGGAUGCUUCAAGGAGCUGACCAACAUCAUUCUAGGACAACUGAUUUCCACCCAGAACAUGACCUAACAGCAGGUGCAAAUGUUUCAAUGCGGCCCCUAUCUACUCCAUCCCAGAGGCUGGUCCAGAUUAGAAGGCGGAAAAAAUGAACUCGGGAUGAAAAUGUUUGCCAAGCUCAUGCAGUCCUCCUGCACUGAUAGGGCCCAGCUGAAUACGUGGAGGCAGACAAUUGUGGAGGCCCUUAAAGUGUUACAUGAAUAUGAAGAGAGGAGGGACGUGCGCGAUGAGAGCAGGCAGGAUGCUGUGGUCAAGCUCAUGGGGGAGCAAAUUGACAUGCUCUGCUGUAUGGUGGAUCUAAUGUGGGAAAGGCAGCAAGACCACAGACUGCCACUGCAGCCCCUGAAUAACCACCCUCCCUCCUCCCCAAGUUCCAUAGUCUCCUCACCCAGACGCCCAAGAACACGCGGGGGGAAGGCUAUGGGGACCCACACAGUCAACCCCAGAGGACUGCACAAGCAGCAGAAAGCUGACAUAUCCUAAAUUUUAAUUUGGUUUCUGGACUUGUCUUUCCCUCCUCCACCACCCCCCUAACCCAAUACCACCCCUCCCCCAUCU
Non-coding RNA from Caretta caretta (loggerhead turtle), 1071 nucleotides. The record is from RefSeq and is a predicted model, not a curated record. NCBI's taxonomy places the organism in Eukaryota, Metazoa, Chordata, Testudines, Cheloniidae.